CUAGUAACGGCCGCCAGUGUGCUGGAAUUCGCCCUUCAGGCCUAACACAUGCAAGUCGAACGGAGAACUUUCUUCGGAAUGUUCUUAGUGGCGAACGGGUGAGUAACGCGUAGGCAACCUGCCCUCUGGUUGGGGACAACAUUCCGAAAGGGAUGCUAAUACCGAAUGUGAUCCCCUCUCCGCAUGGAGAGGGGAUGAAAGAUGGCCUCUACUUGUAAGCUAUCGCCAGAAGAUGGGCCUGCGUCUGAUUAGCUAGUAGGUGGGGUAACGGCCCACCUAGGCGAUGAUCAGUAGCCGGUCUGAGAGGAUGAACGGCCACAUUGGGACUGAGACACGGCCCAAACUCCUACGGGAGGCAGCAGUGGGGAAUCUUCCGCAAUGGACGAAAGUCUGACGGAGCAACGCCGCGUGAGUGAUGAAGGCCUUCGGGUUGUAAAACUCUGUUGUCAGGGACGAACGUGCCGAUCUACAAUACAUUUCGGCAGUGACGGUACCUGACGAGGAAGCCACGGCUAACUACGUGCCAGCAGCCGCGGUAAUACGUAGGUGGCAAGCGUUGUCCGGAAUUAUUGGGCGUAAAGAGCAUGUAGGCGGGCUUUUAAGUCCGACGUGAAAAUGCGGGGCUUAACCCCGUAUGGCGUUGGAUACUGGAAGUCUUGAGUGCAGGAGAGGAAAGGGGAAUUCCCAGUGUAGCGGUGAAAUGCGUAGAUAUUGGGAGGAACACCAGUGGCGAAGGCGCCUUUCUGGACUGUGUCUGACGCUGAGAUGCGAAAGCCAGGGUAGCAAACGGGAUUAGAUACCCCGGUAGUCCUGGCCGUAAACGAUGGGUACUAGGUGUAGGAGGUAUCGACCCCUUCUGUGCCGGAGUUAACGCAAUAAGUACCCCGCCUGGGGACUACGAUCGCAAGAUUGAAACUCAAAGGAAUUGACGGGGGCCCGCACAAGCGGUGGAAGUAUGUGGGUUUAAUUCGACGCAACGCGAAGAACCUUACCAAGGCUUGACAUUGAGUGAAAGACCUAGAAAUAGGUCCCCUUCUUCGGAAGCACGAAAACAGGUGGUGCAUGGCUGUCGUCAGCUCGUGUCGUGAAGAUGUUGGGGUUAAGUCC
This 1107-nucleotide ribosomal RNA is filed under the name uncultured bacterium. RNAcentral's name for it is "partial 16S ribosomal RNA". It matches the Rfam family "Bacterial small subunit ribosomal RNA", at positions 1 to 1087 of the family's 1533-position model. The record is from RNAcentral.